RNAcentral lists this long non-coding RNA (1603 nucleotides) under Rattus norvegicus (Norway rat). Its description in RNAcentral is "long non-coding RNA NONRATT033896". Lineage: Eukaryota; Metazoa; Chordata; Mammalia; Rodentia; Muridae. The record is from RNAcentral.
GGAGAACUUUAACAGUCAGCUCUAAGUUCUGUUUGCAGUUCCAUUUUUAAAAGGAGGCUGGAGAGAUGGCUCGAUGCUUAAAGGCAUGCACUGUAACAAAAGACCCAGAUUCUCUUCCCAGCAACCACGUGGCAGCUCGAUCUGUCUGCACCUCCAGUUCCAGGGCCUCUGACCGUGCUGUUAUCCUUUUCUGUGGACAGACUUCCUGGGAUACGUAUACAGCCAUGGCUAACCUGAAACUAACCUGAAAUUCAAGAUGGGUAAUGUCCUGAGUUCAAUUCCCAGCAACCACAUGGUGGCUCACAACCAUCUGUAAUGAGAUCUGAUGUCCUCUUCUGGUGUGUCUGAAGACAGCUACAGUGCACUCACAUACAUAGAAUAAAUAAAUCCUUUAAAAAGAAAACAGUGAAGUUGGGAAAAUUUACAGGUUAAAAAUGGAGCUAGAGGGGUUGGGGAUUUAGCUCAGUGGUAGAACGCUUGCCUAGGAAGCGCAAGGCCCUGGGUUCGGUCCCCAGCUCCGAAAAAAAGAACCAAAAAAAAAAAAAUGGAGCUAGAAAAAAAUUAUCCUGAAUGAGGUAUCUGAGACCCAAAAAGUAUGGUUGUAUACUUUUCUAUUUGCAUGCUAGCCUUUCAGCCUUUGAUAGGUACACUAUAGUCCUUAUAGCAACAAGUUAGAAAUAGAAUAAGGGACUGGAAGGAGGGGAGACUCUUCGAGGAAUGGGAAUUAAAAUUCAAUUACGGAAAGACAAGAACAAGAUUAAAUGGUAAGGGAGAGGAGUAAGAGGAGGAUAAUAAGAAGAAAGAGAUUACAGGGAUAAACAACUAAUGCUAAUUAUCAUGUGAGGGCUUAUAUGGAAACCGACUAGAGUAGAAGCUUCUUAAAAUACGUACAUAUAUGAAAGAAAUCCAAAUGUAGUCACCAAAUAACAGAUGAGAGAGAGCCCCAAAUAGUUAUCCUUCUGGACCAUCUGAAACCUCCAGUGAGGAAUGGAGUACACAUCUAGUUAAGUGACUAGUCAAAGGGGUCCCAUGGAAAUUCCCAAAGUAAGCCUAUCACAAAGGCUAAUGUUUGCUCUCCACAAAGUAAUGGUUAGGCAUUAUUGAAGGCAACACCUACAUCACUGAACAUGGAGAAGUUGAGCUGGUGCCUAACUAAAGCCUUCAGUUCUACUGCCUGGUGUUCUAUUAUAGGCUACCAGAGGAAAAAAGUAACCACCAACCCAUAUUCAAAGCCUUCCCUCUACAAUGAUGAGCAGCCCAUGUGAUAAGUUGGUCAAUAGUGAGUGGCACAAUGAACAUUGCAGAGUGACCAACCGUAACUGGAGUUAAAACUCUAAUUUUCUUACAAUUGUAUUAACUUGGCUACAAAAUUAUUAAGAGCUCUGUAAACAUUGUGAUGUCUGUUUCAAAAUAAGAGUUGAAAUAACGGCUGGAGAGAUGGCUCAGCAGUUAAGAGCACCCGACUACUCUUCCAGAGGUCCUGAGUUCAAUUCCCAGCAACCACAUGGUGGCUCACAACCAUCUGUAAAGAGAACCGAUGCUCUCUUCUGGUGUGUCUGAAGACAGCUACAGUGUACUUAUAUAUAAUAAAUGAAUAAAUCUU